AGAGUUUGAUCAUGGCUCAGGACGAACGCUGGCGGCGUGCUUAACACAUGCAAGUCGAACGAUGAACCACUUCGGUGGGGAUUAGUGGCGAAUGGGUGAGUAACACGUGGGCAAUCUGCCCUGCACUCUGGGACAAGCCCUGGAAACGGGGUCUAAUACCGGAUACUGAUCGCCUUGGGCAUCCUUGGUGAUCGAAAGCUCCGGCGGUGCAGGAUGAGCCCGCGGCCUAUCAGCUUGUUGGUGAGGUAAUGGCUCACCAAGGCGACGACGGGUAGCCGGCCUGAGAGGGCGACCGGCCACACUGGGACUGAGACACGGCCCAGACUCCUACGGGAGGCAGCAGUGGGGAAUAUUGCACAAUGGGCGAAAGCCUGAUGCAGCGACGCCGCGUGAGGGAUGACGGCCUUCGGGUUGUAAACCUCUUUCAGCAGGGAAGAAGCGAAAGUGACGGUACCUGCAGAAGAAGCGCCGGCUAACUACGUGCCAGCAGCCGCGGUAAUACGUAGGGCGCGAGCGUUGUCCGGAAUUAUUGGGCGUAAAGAGCUCGUAGGCGGCUUGUCGCGUCGGUUGUGAAAGCCCGGGGCUUAACCCCGGGUCUGCUGUCGAUACGGGCAGGCUAGAGUUCGGUAGGGGAGAUCGGAAUUCCUGGUGUAGCGGUGAAAUGCGCAGAUAUCAGGAGGAACACCGGUGGCGAAGGCGGAUCUCUGGGCCGAUACUGACGCU
This 723-nucleotide ribosomal RNA is filed under the name uncultured bacterium. Its description in RNAcentral is "bacterial SSU rRNA". It matches the Rfam family "Bacterial small subunit ribosomal RNA", at positions 8 to 747 of the family's 1533-position model. The record is from RNAcentral.